UUUUUAUAUUUUUAAAUAAUAGUAUUUAAUAUUUUAAUUUCACAAAUUUAAUUGGAUGGUAUAUAAAUGUGAGAGAUUUUUUUUUUAUUUGAAAAAAAAAAAAAAAUAACAACAUCUGGUAUUUAAUGUGGGUCGGACUGAGUAGACUUGCCAGAUUCUUGCUGGUUCGUGAAUCCGCCGACAAAAAGUUUCAUCAACGGUGGGCCCGUCCGAAUCGAAAGGUUCAGAGUUGGUGAUUACGAGGCUGUACUUUGUCAAACACUUUACAGUAAAGGAAUGCGGCUGUGAGCUCACCCUCAUCUCAUCAUGCUUACGUCAACCUUUUUAAUCAUCACACCUUCCAUUUGUAAUAAUUAUCAAUU
This 362-nucleotide long non-coding RNA is filed under the name Manihot esculenta (cassava). Its description in RNAcentral is "long non-coding RNA (MESC_LNC006227)". Lineage: Eukaryota; Viridiplantae; Streptophyta; Magnoliopsida; Malpighiales; Euphorbiaceae. The record is from RNAcentral.